AAACAAAGUCGGCCCCAAAGUCGCCCCAAUUUUUGAACUGCGUGGUUGUGCGCGCGUCGUAAACAGAUUAAACUUUAAAUAAGUACAAUUUUGGAUAACGUAUUUCUUUGGAGAGCCAGGCCGAGAGAGCAUAAAGAGAGUGAAAAAGAAAAAACAAUCGGUUCGGCGGCAAUACGGGUAUUUUUAAUCUAAGCUAAAAACGAAAAAAAAGUAAAAUAUACGGGUAGAGCCGAGUGCUUAAAAUCGGGAAAUUAAUUUAAUGCAAUAUUUCUAAAUGUGUUUAUAAAUCGCUGGCAACGUAGUAACUAAUUGCAAAAAGCAUCUCCCCAUCUCUCUCAUACAUAUACAAAUCGCGCGACUAGGAAUUUAUCUAAAGUGUAAACCAAAUGCUAAUCUAAGCUGCUAAUCUAAGUGAAAACUAAGUGUAGGAACCAAUACGAGAAUUUAAACGCGUCUAAAACUGAAACUCUAGCAAACCAACAAACAAGAGACAAACAAACGUUUGUCAAGCAAAGUAACGCGCGCGACAAAACAGCAACGCAACGAGCAUUUCCUCUCCUCUCCGUGGUCCCUUAGGUCGGCAAAAUAGCUAAGUCCAUUUUGCAAUUCUUAAAAAAGAAGAAAUCCCAUCAUAGUUCGACAUCGGGCGAGGGCAAGCUACAGCAGCAGUCCAGCUACGAGGAGGAGGGCGUCGGCGGUGGAGGAGGACCGGAGCAGGCGGCUAGCAGCAGCAGCUCGGCUGGGCCAGGAGGAGCAGUAGGAGGAGGCGCCGCCGCCGCAAGCCAAAAGACAACGCCCCCAACGGCAGCAGCAGCAUCCGAAGGAGGAGCGGCAGCAGCGACCACGACAGACGGAGCAACAGCAAAACCAGGAGCCGCCAGUGAGGAACAGCCACAGGUAUCUGCCAGCGCCACGUUUCGCCUUUCAUCGCUCACGGGUACAAUCUCGAAGAUGGGAAACAACGCGACCACGUCCAACAAGAAGGUGGAUGCCGCCGAGACGGUCAAGGAGUUCCUCGAGCAGGCCAAGGAGGAGUUUGAGGACAAGUGGCGCCGCAACCCCACCAAUACCGCUGCCCUCGACGACUUCGAGCGGAUCAAGACGCUCGGGACGGGCUCCUUUGGCCGCGUGAUGAUCGUCCAGCACAAGCCCACGAAAGACUACUAUGCCAUGAAGAUCCUCGACAAGCAGAAGGUCGUCAAGCUGAAGCAGGUGGAGCACACGCUAAACGAGAAGCGCAUCCUGCAGGCCAUCCAGUUCCCCUUCCUCGUCUCGCUGCGCUACCACUUCAAGGACAACUCCAACCUCUACAUGGUCCUCGAGUACGUGCCCGGCGGCGAGAUGUUCUCCCACCUGCGGAAGGUGGGCCGCUUCUCGGAGCCCCACUCGCGCUUCUACGCGGCGCAGAUCGUGCUGGCCUUCGAGUAUCUGCACUACCUGGACCUCAUCUACCGGGACCUCAAGCCCGAGAAUCUGCUGAUCGACUCGCAGGGGUACCUCAAGGUCACGGACUUUGGGUUCGCCAAGCGCGUCAAGGGCCGCACCUGGACGCUCUGCGGCACGCCCGAGUAUCUGGCGCCGGAGAUCAUCCUGUCGAAGGGCUACAACAAGGCCGUCGACUGGUGGGCGCUCGGCGUCCUCGUCUACGAGAUGGCCGCCGGCUAUCCGCCCUUCUUCGCGGACCAGCCCAUUCAGAUCUACGAGAAGAUCGUCUCGGGCAAGGUGCGCUUCCCCUCGCACUUUGGGUCCGACCUGAAGGACCUGCUGCGCAACCUCCUGCAGGUUGACCUGACCAAACGCUAUGGCAAUCUGAAGGCGGGCGUCAAUGAUAUUAAGAACCAGAAGUGGUUCGCCUCCACCGACUGGAUUGCGAUCUUCCAAAAGAAAAUCGAGGCCCCCUUCAUACCCCGGUGUAAGGGGCCCGGCGACACAAGCAAUUUCGACGACUACGAGGAGGAGGCACUGCGGAUCUCCAGCACCGAGAAGUGCGCCAAGGAAUUUGCUGAAUUCUAGAUCAAGUUUUCCACCUCCACUCCACCCAUAUUUUUGCAACCGCCACAACAACAACAACAACAGCAGCAGCAAAAACAACAAUUGCAACAACAGCAGGACAAAUCAGAUCCGGUGGACUUGCCUCCUGCUCCUGGAGUUGCUGUUGCGGCCUAGCGGACCCUGUCCUCAUAGCCGUAGCCGCCGUCGUUGUCGUCGUCGUCGUCGUCGUCGUCUUGUCUAUAUGUCUACUUCUACUUGCAACUGCAACUGCAACUGCAACAACAACAACAACAACAAAAACAACUACUAACUACAUCUACUUCGUCUACAUGUACGUCUGGACAUAUGGUGUAUCUAUAUCUAUGUCUAUAUCAAUCCACAUGCCACGUAUCUAUCCACACAACACAACACAACAAGAACACAAACGUCUCUGUCUACUCCACAAUGGAUUUUCCACUACAAUUUUCAUAAAUCAUAAGCAACACAAAACUACAAAAACUACAAACUACAAACUUCAAGCUACAAACUACAAAGAACUACAAUCUACAAUCUACAGGUGGGACAGUGUAAAAGUAGCGCUGCUCUUCCUCCUCGAAGCCAAACCUCAGCCGAAGCAGCCUUUUUGUCUAGAGACCAGCCAGCCAGAGAGGGCCAGAAGCGGGACAGGAUAACAGGAUGAACGGAAGGGAAAGGAAACAGAAAGGAAAAGGAAUGGAAUGAAUGCCCAAAUGGAAUAGAAGCCCAAAUAGAGUUAUAGAAAUAGCAAUGGAAACAAUUAAAAUGACUUACAUAUAGAUAUUCAUUCAUACAUACAUACAUAUAGCGUAUAUAACCACGAGACUACAGAUAUUUAGUUGUAACGUAGUUUAGUCUUAUAACCGAAGAAGAAGAAGAAGAGGAAGAUGAAGAUGAAGAUGAAGAAGAAUCGAGAAGAAAACACAGAGAAAGCAGAAAACAAAGGAGAACAAACAAACAAAGAAACAAAGAGGAAAUCCAGGAGAAAAAUCAUCAUCCCAAAACAAGGGCUAAAGAAUUUCAUAUUUCAUCACGAUGAACCCCCGUUCCAUAGAUCCAUCCGUCGAUUAAUCGUUCAAUCAAUCGAUUUAUCGAUCAUUCGGUCAGUCAGUCACCACCACAACAACAACAACAACUUCAGAGUAAAAAAACGCUUUAAUAAUUUUUAAAUUAAAUACAAAAGGUUAAAUUUAACACACAAAAAAAUUAUGGCGCACUCAGUGUGCUUGAAAAAAAAAAGAAGAAAGAAGGAAAGAGAAUAAUGAGAAAAAGCAGAGGCAGCAAGCAAAUCAUAUGAUUAAUAAAAAGUGUAAUAUUUAUAUAAAGAAAAUAAUUACGAGGAAUAAUACGAGCGCUACGAGAGAGCGAGAACAAGUCUCCCCCUGACAGAAGACACAGAAGGGAACCCGGGAGACAGGCAGUCGGUCAAGUGAUUAGUGAGUGAAAUCGAUAUUCAGUGUUGCGCAACGACAGACAGUGUUGGUCAGCGCCUCGACCUUAUUACGCCCCGCGCGCCCCGCUUGCGUUCAUGUGUGUGUAGCUCUCGAUAUGUGUGUGUAGGUCUCGUGCAGACAUGUCUCUAGAUAUUUAUAUAUAUAUAAUACAUGCAUACCCCCAUAAAUACAUACAUACAUGGAUAUAAGUGUUGUACAAUCAGCGACGACGUGCAACAAACCCCUGUCCCUCCCCCCAGUAGAACACAUCACGACCAUGUGUGACAGUGGCACCUAAAAGUAAGCACACUAGCCCAUCAUCGCGAACCCAUGAAUAGAUAUCCAUCCAACAUGCAAAAUGCCAACAUCCGCCAUCCACAACUCGCAAAAGGAACCACACCAACAACAACUACUCGGAUUCUAAAAUAAUAAAUAUAAAAAAGAAGAAGAUUACAAACCAUUGAAAACGCAGCAAGAAAUAUAUAAGUAUAUACGAUUAAAACAACAACAAAAAUAAAAUCUUAAUGUUUAAUAUUUAAGCCACGUAAAACAAAAACAAAAAACUGAAAAACAUUUGUGUGUAAAAAAUCGUAAAAAACUUAGCAUUAAAAAAAAAACCAAUUGAAGUCGAAGGCGAAAGCAGGCAAAAAUGUCGAAAGAUUGAAGCAAAAGCAAAGUAAAAGCGCAAGAGAAAAGCCAACUAAAUAUAGAGAAGCAAAACGGGGAGGAAACGGAAGUACAGUCAUGCCAAAGGGUAGCUGUCGAUUGGAUUAUAUUUAUUAUCGUUUCGUUAUGUGCAAAAAGGAGAACGAAGAAAGAAGAGAUUUCUAUUAGGCAGAAAGAUUCUUUUAUCAAAAAUUCUCCACCCUGUUAUUAUUUAUUUCUUUACAAAUGAAGACUUUAUUCAAUUACGUUUUGAUGUUGUUGUUGUUGUGAGAAAGAGAUGUGCGAUGUGAGAUAUGAGAUAUGUAGCGCAAGACAGAGACACAAGGAGACAGAGUCGUCAAGAGAAUAAAAAGAAUAAACAUUAAUUUAUAUACGCGUACAUUUUAUGUUUUCUACGAUGAUUAUAUACAAGUGCAUAUACAUAUUUGUUCAACUAUAGUUGCGAGACAAAAGUCAUAAAUAGGCAUACAAAUUAAGCAGCUAAAUUUAAUGGUAACUACGAGUACAUACGAGUAAAAAUAAAACUAAAAACUAAAUAGACACCGAAAUCAAUUGAGCAACC
Molecule: RNA transcript, 4668 nt
Organism: Drosophila miranda
Lineage: Eukaryota; Metazoa; Arthropoda; Insecta; Diptera; Drosophilidae
Gene: Pka-C1
Gene name: cAMP-dependent protein kinase catalytic subunit 1
Exons: 3
Source: RefSeq, a predicted model, not a curated record